ACCCGCUGAACUUAAGCAUAUCAAUAAGCGGAGGAAAAGAAACCAACAGGGAUUGCCUCAGUAACGGCGAGUGAAGCGGCAAGAGCUCAAAUUUAAAAGCCGACGUAGCUUUAAGAGACGUCCGCAUUGUAAUUUGAAGAGGCAUUCUCGGGUCGGGGCUCAGGCCUAAGUUCCUUGGAAGAGGGCGUCGUGGAGGGUGAGAACCCCGUUCGCGGCCUGCUGUCGACCUUUCCCCGAUCCACACGAGGUGCCAUCGAAGAGUCGAGUUGUUUGGGAAUGCAGCUCAAAGCGGGUGGUAAAUUCCAUCUAAAGCUAAAUAUUGACGGAAGACCGAUAGCGAACAAGUAGAGUGAUCGAAAGAUGAAAAGCACUUUGGAAAGAGAGUUAAACAGCACGUGAAAUUGUUGAAAGGGAAGCGCUUGAGACCAGUCACGGACCGAGGCGAUCAGUGGGACGUCCCUCUCGGGGGAGGAACCGCGCACUCGCUUUUCGGGUUUUCCGGGUCAACAUCGGUUGGGACGGUGUCAGAAAGGUCGCGGGAACGUGGCUCCCUUCACGGGGAGUGUUAUAGCCCGUGGCGUCAAAGUCGCCGGUUUCGACCGAGGACCGCGCUCGUCUUUUUCGAGCAAGGAUGUUGACGUAAUGGUCCC
Molecule: ribosomal RNA, 650 nt
Filed under: uncultured fungus
Lineage: Eukaryota; Fungi
Description: eukaryotic LSU rRNA
Rfam family: Eukaryotic large subunit ribosomal RNA
Source: RNAcentral